UAGGGAAUCUUCCGCAAUGGACGCAAGUCUGACGGAGCAACGCCGCGUGAGUGAUGAAGGUUUUCGGAUCGUAAAGCUCUGUUGCCAGGGAAGAACGCCGAGGGGAGUAACUGCCCUUCGGGUGACGGUACCUGAGAAGAAAGCCCCGGCUAACUACGUGCCAGCAGCCGCGGUAAUACGUAGGGGGCAAGCGUUGUCCGGAAUUAUUGGGCGUAAAGCGCGCGCAGGCGGUUAGGUAAGUUUUGGUGUUUUAAUUCCGGGGCUCAACCCCGGGUCGCACUGAAAACUGCUUGACUUGAGUGCGGGGAGAGGAAAGUGGAAUUCCACGUGUAGCGGUGAAAUGCGUAGAGAUGUGGAGGAACACCAGUGGCGAAGGCGACUUUCUGGACCGUAACUGACGCUGAGGCGCGAAAGCGUGGGGAGCA
This 425-nucleotide ribosomal RNA is filed under the name uncultured bacterium. Its description in RNAcentral is "bacterial SSU rRNA". It matches the Rfam family "Bacterial small subunit ribosomal RNA", at positions 355 to 770 of the family's 1533-position model. The record is from RNAcentral.